Non-coding RNA from Cicer arietinum (chickpea), 66 nucleotides. NCBI's taxonomy places the organism in Eukaryota, Viridiplantae, Streptophyta, Magnoliopsida, Fabales, Fabaceae. The record is from RefSeq and is a predicted model, not a curated record.
GUGAAAAAAGAAAGAAAAUAAUACAAGAAAAAUUAGUAAACAAUAAUGAAAUAAUUCAUACAUAUC